This 340-nucleotide unclassified non-coding RNA is filed under the name soil metagenome. RNAcentral describes it as "partial contains 5.8S ribosomal RNA, internal transcribed spacer 2, and large subunit ribosomal RNA". The stretch from base 1 to 120 matches the Rfam family "5.8S ribosomal RNA", at positions 35 to 154 of the family's 154-position model. The record is from RNAcentral.
GAUGAAGAACGUAGCGAAAUGCGAUACGUAAUGUGAAUUGCAGAAUUCCGUGAAUCAUCGAAUCUUUGAACGCACAUUGCGCCCGCCAGCAUUCUGGCGGGCAUGCCUGUUCGAGCGUCAUUUCAACCCUCGACGUCCCCCGGGACGUCGGCCUUGGGGACCGGCAGCACCCCGCCGGCCCUGAAAUGGAGUGGCGGCCCGUCCGCGGCGACCUCUGCGAAGUACUACAGCUCGCACCGGAAACCCGCCGCGGCCCCGCCGUGAAACCCCCAACUCUGAACGUUGACCUCGGAUCAGGUAGGACUACCCGCUGAACUUAAGCAUAUCAAUAAGCGGAGGA